RNAcentral lists this long non-coding RNA (205 nucleotides) under Setaria italica (foxtail millet). RNAcentral's name for it is "long non-coding RNA (SITA_LNC004982)". The record is from RNAcentral. Lineage: Eukaryota; Viridiplantae; Streptophyta; Magnoliopsida; Poales; Poaceae.
CUUGCACAUGGGAGGAUCCCUUACACGCCUACAAGCAGCCUCCUGCUUCUCCUCCUCGGUCAUCCUAGGUGGGUUUGGUGGAGGAGGAACCCAACGCCUAAACUGAUGGUAUGGUUUAAGCUCUAUGCUAUGAUAUGGGAAUAGGCGGAUCCUAGGAUCAUAUUUGUUGGGUCCAUCAAUCCACUGAAAGAAAUCACAAGGUGCG